RNAcentral lists this ribosomal RNA (528 nucleotides) under Asaia sp. VV30. RNAcentral describes it as "bacterial SSU rRNA". It matches the Rfam family "Bacterial small subunit ribosomal RNA", at positions 18 to 592 of the family's 1533-position model. The record is from RNAcentral. Lineage: Bacteria; Pseudomonadati; Pseudomonadota; Alphaproteobacteria; Acetobacterales; Acetobacteraceae.
CCUGGCUCAGAGCGAACGCUGGCGGCAUGCUUACACAUGCAGUCGCACGGACCUUUCGGGGUGAGUGGCGGACGGGUGAGUAUCGCGUAGGGAUCUUAUCCACGGGUGGGGGAUAACAUCGGGAAACUGGUGCUAAUACCGCAUGAUACCUGAGGGUCAAAGGCGCAAGUCGCCUGUGGAGGAGCCUGCGUUCGAUUAGCUUGUUGGUGGGGUAAAGGCCUACCAAGGCGAUGAUCGAUAGCUGGUCUGAGAGGAUGAUCAGCCACACUGGGACUGAGACACGGCCCAGACUCCUACGGGAGGCAGCAGWGGGGAAUAUUGGACAAUGGGCUAAAGCCUGAUCCAGCAUGCCGCGUGUGUGAAGAAGGUCUUCGGAUUGUAAAGCACUUUCGACGGKGACGAUGAUGACGGUACCCGUAGAAGAAGCCCCGGCUAACUUCGUGCCAGCAGCCGCGGUAAUACGAAGGGGGCUAGCGUUGCUCGGAAUGACUGGGCGUAAAGGGCGCGUAGGCGGCUUACACAGUCCUA